UUCAAGUGGCUCAUGGACCAGUGAGAGAGACUGACACACAACAGGUAACAGUGUACAGCCUCACUGACGCUCCGAUGAGGUGCCAUGGCCUCACCCAGGACACCUAACCCUGACUGGGUAGGGUGUAGGGGCGGCAGUGGGGGUCAGACCUGCUUUCUCAAGGAAGUGAUGCCCAUCUGGAUAUUUAAGGGAAGAAAACAGAAACGCAUGUGAACUGCUUUGUGAUCGAUUUAUUUUAAAACCAUGGGAAGAAAUUUUUAA
This 261-nucleotide long non-coding RNA is filed under the name Homo sapiens (human). Lineage: Eukaryota; Metazoa; Chordata; Mammalia; Primates; Hominidae. The record is from RNAcentral.